This 19-nucleotide small nuclear RNA is filed under the name Arabidopsis thaliana (thale cress). Its description in RNAcentral is "snRNA_10326". The record is from RNAcentral. Lineage: Eukaryota; Viridiplantae; Streptophyta; Magnoliopsida; Brassicales; Brassicaceae.
UGGAACAAAAGGGUAAAAG